GAUGAACGCUGGCGGCGUGCCUAAUACAUGCAAGUCGGGCGAAUGGAUUAAGAGCUUGCUCUUAUGAAGUUAGCGGCGGACGGGUGAGUAACACGUGGGUAACCUGCCCAUAAGACUGGGAUAACUCCGGGAAACCGGGGCUAAUACCGGAUAACAUUUUGAACCGCAUGGUUCGAAAUUGAAAGGCGGCUUCGGCUGUCACUUAUGGAUGGACCCGCGUCGCAUUAGCUCGUGGGUGAGGUAACGGCUCACCAAGGCAACGAUGCGUAGCCGACCUGAGAGGGUGAUCGGCCACACUGGGACUGAGACACGGCCCAGACUCCUACGGGAGGCAGCAGUAGGGAAUCUUCCGCAAUGGACGAAAGUCUGACGGAGCAACGCCGCGUGAGUGAUGAAGGCUUUCGGGUCGUAAAACUCUGUUGUUAGGGAAGAACAAGUGCUACUUUAAUAAGCUGGCACCUUGACGGUACCUAACCAGAAAGCCACGGCUAACUACGUGCCAGCAGCCGCAGUAA
This 515-nucleotide ribosomal RNA is filed under the name uncultured bacterium. RNAcentral's name for it is "partial 16S ribosomal RNA". It matches the Rfam family "Bacterial small subunit ribosomal RNA", at positions 28 to 523 of the family's 1533-position model. The record is from RNAcentral.